CAACAGCUAGAGUUUGAUCCUGGCUCAGGAUGAACGCUGGCGGCGUGCUUAACACAUGCAAGUCGAGCGAUGAAGUUUCCUUCGGGAAACGGAUUAGCGGCGGACGGGUGAGUAACACGUGGGUAACCUGCCUCAUAGAGUGGAAUAGCCUUCCGAAAGGAAGAUUAAUACCGCAUAACGUUGAAAGAUGGCAUCAUCAUUCAACCAAAGGAGCAAUCCGCUAUGAGAUGGACCCGCGGCGCAUUAGCUAGUUGGUGGGGUAACGGCCUACCAAGGCGACGAUGCGUAGCCGACCUGAGAGGGUGAUCGGCCACAUUGGGACUGAGACACGGCCCAGACUCCUACGGGAGGCAGCAGUGGGGAAUAUUGCACAAUGGGGGAAACCCUGAUGCAGCAACGCCGCGUGAGUGAUGAAGGUUUUCGGAUCGUAAAGCUCUGUCUUUGGGGAAGAUAAUGACGGUACCCAAGGAGGAAGCCACGGCUAACUACGUGCCAGCAGCCGCGGUAA
Molecule: ribosomal RNA, 508 nt
Filed under: uncultured bacterium
Lineage: Bacteria
Description: bacterial SSU rRNA
Rfam family: Bacterial small subunit ribosomal RNA
Source: RNAcentral